RNAcentral lists this transfer RNA (63 nucleotides) under Hemiodoecus leai. RNAcentral's name for it is "tRNA-Ser". The record is from RNAcentral. Lineage: Eukaryota; Metazoa; Arthropoda; Insecta; Hemiptera; Peloridiidae.
AAGAAAAACCAAAAGAAAAGCUGCUAACUCUUUCUCAAGCAAUUAAUAUAUGCUUUUUUCUUG